CCCCUUCACCUGGUUGAGUCUGAAUUUCAGAUAGUGAGCAGGUGUGAGAGGAUGAGUGAGCCACAAGAUGGAGGGAGCCUACGUCAGUGGAUCCCCACAUGGAAAAGACCUCCUAUCAACUGGGAAGACCUGCACUGAAUAGAUAGGACAAAAGAACAACAGAGGCCAAAAGCUUCCAGUCCUAGUCCUGUCUUUGUCACCUGCUCUAUUACCCUGAAAAAGUCCUUGCUCUCCCUUGAGUUCUGUUUAUUUGUAAAAAGAAAGACUGGUGGAGAGCACAGAGACCAUAUUUGCCAACUUCCUCUGCAGUGGGGAUGCUCUGGCCCAUGAAACAUGCCACAUCUCUCUCCACCUCCCUUCUGGCUACAUGCAGAGAAUCUGGCAGAGAGCUCCAAGAACUGAGGGGAUGUGAAGGCACAACAAAGAAGUCCAAGUUCCUAAAGAACCAUCUGUAAAGCUGCUCAAACCAUCUGAUUAGACACAAAGAAUGCAAAGACACAAAGAACAAUCUUGCACUGCACUAAACCACCAAGAGUUGAGGAUUAUUACACUAGUGAACCUAUGAAUUCAUUCAACCUAACAUGAAUUUUAUCACAUUUUCUCCACUCUGUUAUGAAGAACUCUAACCAGAUUGUUAUGGGUCUUUUCUUUUUUAAUUAAGUUACUGAGGAUUGCAUCUGAAUUUUAAUUACAUUACUGAAUUGAUGGACUUCCACAAUAACUGUAUUUUUGCAGCCUUUCACUUGAAAUACAGAUCAUAACACAAGUAAAGACUGGCAAUCCUGUAGGUGCUCAGAUAUCUAAUUGCUGACAAGAAUCUGCACCAUAUUGGAAGGCUGAGGUGCCCUAAGUGACCUUAUCUUUUAAAACUGAUGAGUGUUUUCACUGGCACUAGCUUUUGCCAUAACACUAGUAGCUGAGCAAAGGUAACCAAAACAGAUACUGAUCCAUCAAAUGCCUUUAGACUGAUAUACAUCUGCCAGAGUAUCUAAUACUUGUACUCAUAUAUACUACUCAAAAUUAAUGCUCAGCAAGGCUGACUAUACCAGGGUUUUGGUAUCAAGUCUUUUUUUUUUUUUUUUGGAAUAUAAAGGGGCAUAGUAACAUACUGUACUUUCUAUAAGUUUAGAGUUAAACUAAGGGGAUAAGGGAGACCAUAAAAAACAAAAGGUUCUGCCAGUGACUGCUGUUGAAUUCUCUUCAUUCUUUCUUAUGCAUCCAUAAUUGAAAAGGUUCUAAGUGUGAGCCUCUUCCAGUUUCCAAGGAAUUAACCCAUGUUAAACAUUACGCUGUAAUCCUGUCCACCAACUUGCUUUAACAAUUGCAUAGAAUUGCGUAGAAUUGUGGAGGCUUAAAAAGAUGGCCCCAAAUUCUCUGAAAUUCCUUCCACUGAGAGGCCAACUUCUGUGUCCCUUCCCCUGGAAACUGGGUAGGCUGUGUCUAGCCAAUCAGUAAAGACAGUAAUGCUAUGUGAAUCCAAAGGAUAGAUUAUAAAACACCAUGUAGCUUCUGCUUUGCUCACUGGAAUACUUACUCUUGAAACCUUCAGCUACCAUGUAAACAGUCCAACUGCCAUUAAACCACAAUGCUGUGAGAAAGCGCAAAUGAGACUACACACAGAAUCCAUAUACAAAGACUGAAGACAAUAUGAAAAGAGAGACUCCAAGAUUAUAUGAAGAGCUAGUUACCAUCUGUUCCAUCUCCACAUCAUGUCUGAUUGCAACUUUAUGGAAGGCUUCAAGCUAAGACUUUCCUAAAGUAUUUACCAACAGAAACUGUGUGAGAUAAUACAAGGAUGACUAUUGUUUUAAGCCACAAAGUUAAGGUGUGAUUUGUUAAGCAGCAGUCAUAACAGAGAUAAGAAUAGUCAUUGAAGAGAAAAUCUCCACUGAAUUCCAGCUAUCAGUCACUAAGAAAUCUUUUUAAAUUUGAUACUAUCCUUUUAACACAUGUUAGUUUUAGGAAUUUCAAUAUAUUUUAUAUAAAACCAGCUAGUUUUAAACAUAACCACUAAAGAUAACUAAGCAGAGCUUUAUUUCACCAUGAAAAAAAGCUAAACACAACAAAAGUAUGGGGUUCUGGUUCAAGAUGGCAACACAGGAAGAUCCUGAACGUACUUUCUCCCAUGGACACACUGAAUCUGCAGCUAUCUAUGGAACAGCUUCCUCUAAAAAAACAAAAACAAAAACAAAAAACCUAAAAACAGGUGAAGCGACUCCUUCACAUCAGGUAAAUAAGAAGGAAACCAUAUUGAAACAGUAGGAAAGGUGGAGACACACUCGCACCAUAAACCCCAUACCUGGCACUAUGAACCACAAUCAGAAGAGAACUCAAAACCUGGAGCUUCUCCCUGAAGAACAAAGGGCUCCUACCCUACAUCAGACACCUCAACUUUUAAGGCUGUCACCUGAGAAAAAAGCCCCAAAAACAUUCAGCUCUCAAGACCCAUGGGGCUCCUGCUCACAAGACCCACAGGGCUGUGGGGAACUAAGAAACAGCUUGUAAAGGACACGCAGGACUCAUUGGCUCCAGGGCCUGGUGCAGAAGCAACCCUUCGAAAAAUGCCCAGACUUUAUGUGAUAGAGACUCAUUUUCUAACUUGAAAGCAUUGGUCUGAGGAACAGGGGCCUUCUGAGAUAUUCUCUUAGAUGGAGGCUAGUGGAUGCCACCUUCCUGCUCUCCCUCUGCCUUGCUAAGUCCAAUGAAUGCCUUAUCUCCCCCUUUCCUUUCCCUCCCUUUUUUUUCAGUGAGUGUUAUUUUUGCAAACCCCUUAUGCCACACUCCAGAGCACCAGUACCUGCCAGGGGGAGCUUCUACGCACAGUGGUGCCCCAGUAUUUACAUCUGGCUAACUGGUCUUUGUAGCUGCCACCCAGAGGACACCCCUUCACCAUCUGGCUCUGAGUGCAUGGGACUAUAACAAUCGGAAAUUCAGCCCUUGGCAGACUACCACUCACUGGACAUUAUACAGAUAACGGACUGAAACAUGCCCCCAGCCUUUCUUAGAAAGAGGUCCAUUUGCUACUUGUUCAGGACCUUUGGCCUGAGAGCAGGUUUCUGGCUUGGCACAUGUGUAGGGACCUACGGCCAUGUUAUCCGAGAAUGGAGGCCAAUGGACACAAUCUUUGUGCUGUCUGCAUGCUUCACUCCAGCUAGCUGGUAUCUUCCAGAAAGGAUCUUACACCCAUCUCUGGUGCCCUGAUUCUAGCAGCUGCUGCCAGGAGAAACCUCUGCAUUAUCUGCCUCUUGGUGGACAUUUAGGCUUAUGCUCACAGGUCCCACAGGACUAUAUCCAACAGAGAAAGAGUUACCACACCCUGAACACUGUAAGAGGCAGCAGACCCAGGUGCUUAAUCUUUCAGUGAAAGAGGCCUAUUAGGUUAUCUUCAGUAGUUGCAGCCAGAGGGGCAGGCUUCUAAUUUAACACACAUCAAAGGGCUGACUGAGACCCUUAGAGGGCUGGAACUGUUUUCACACUCUCCCUCUGCUCUGUGCCAGAGUGAUAGCAUCUCCCAGAGUGAGCUUUUACAUAUGUCUGGGCUCCAGUUUUUAGUCUGCUGCCAGGGCAUAACCCUUGACUGCCUUGCUCUGGUGGCCAGGAGGGUUGGCAUUCCUGGGUCUCCAGGACUACAACAAUCAGAAAGACAGUCCUUAGCAGGUACCAACCCCAGGGCACUAAGAGCAGACUCAAAUACCAUCAGUCUUUCUGUUUUAAAAACAAACAUAAACAAAGAGAAACAGGUUCUGAUGGAACUAUCAGUAGAAAUGUUUAAUGUCAACUGUGAAAAGAGAAAUGUCAACAGCAGAAAGAGAAAAUCAUUUGCAAUACUCAAAAUCAACCACUAUUAGGUCUAGUUCAAAGGAAGAGAUUCUUGGGGAACAAAGAAGGUUACCCUGAUCAUAAAUAUUCCUGCAUAUUUUGAGGAUAUAUUUCAAGGGCCUGUCUGGUUUCAGAGUAAGUGGCCCCAUAAGAAUGUCCUAAGGACGGUACUGGGCCAACACCACUGGGAGAGUUAAGAGACAGAAAAAGGAAGAAGGGAAGAGUAUAGUUGUCUUGUUUAUUUGUUUGUCUUGGAGACAGGUUUGUAUCCAUAUGUGAAUUUAAGCCAGCAAAUGCAAGGAAACUCAUCUCUAGGUUGAUGUGGAAAACUAAGACCAAGAGUUAAGCAGUUAAGCAAUACUGGAACCAGGCACAAUUUCCUGACCCUAUGGUAAACAACACGGUUACAAAGACUUCUCUGUCCCUAUAUUAUAAAAAAAAAACAAAAAAAAAAAAACAAAAAAACAAGUCUAGUUAUUAAAAAACUUAACUGCUUGCUCCAGAAAAUAACUGUUUCCAGAAGAUAAGAUUGUGUUCAACCAAAAUAACUUGCUUAAGAAGACUUGCUUUAGGAUCCUCACCUGCCUAUGCCCAAGAGUCUAAAACUAUUACAUCACAGAUACUUUCCAGUCCCAAUCAGCUCCCCACUUGGCCAAGACCUACCUGAACAUCACUGACUCAGUCUCUAAAGUUCCUUUAGAACUUCAGGAAAUAACCUUCCUUAAUUUUCCCAUUUGGAAAUACUACUAUGACUCUGUCAAGAGGAUGUUAGUAAAACUUGGCUUUGUUUUA
Felis catus (domestic cat) is the source of this 4611-nucleotide long non-coding RNA. RefSeq lists it as uncharacterized. Lineage: Eukaryota; Metazoa; Chordata; Mammalia; Carnivora; Felidae. The record is from RefSeq and is a predicted model, not a curated record. The transcript is spliced from 3 exons.